UUUUUCUUUAAUGGUGUGAAAUAUGUUUAAUCAUUAAAAGUGUCCUCAAAUUGCCUGAUUCCCACUUGUUUUUCAGCAUGCCAGGCCUCAAGUGAGUCAGAGUGAUAACUCCACACACCAAACCUUUUGUAAAUGAAUUACUGAAAGAACCUCCAACCUCAGAACAAAUGCUACAGAUAAGAUGGAGUCUUAACACUUAUACCUGGCCAUCUUUAGCAUCAUUUUGAUUUGUACUUCUGAAUGGGGUUCUCUUUGGAAAUUCCCACCUUGGCCAGCAGAGCUCCUGAGAUUCAACAGAAGUACCGCAAACUCACUACAACCAAAAUUUUUAUUGUUCCCAAAAAGCUAGCCAAGGAAAACUUCAUGACUACAUUAGAACUUGAAGUAAGGAUAUUUGUGGCAGAAGAAUUCCUGUACAUCCAACCCAGACCUACCUUCUACCUUUUCAUCAGGAGGCAUUAGCUUAGGUCAGGCCAUCUCUUCACAGCCCAAAGUGGGGAAAUACUCAAGUAUGAUUAUUUGUUCUCACACCAGUCUCUUGCCAGACUGCCAUUUUUACUCCUUUCCAUGUAUCAAAAUCUGGCUGAGCCUUCAGGGUUCAUCUUCAGUCCCUGUGACUCCUCUGCUCCAGUGGUCUCAACCUGGGCUGCAUAGUAGAAUCUCCUGGAAGAUCUAAAAGAAAAAAAAUCCAAUGUCCAGAUCCCAAACAUGUUUAUUCAGUUGGUCUAAAAUGGAGCAUGAGCAUUUUUAAAGAGAUCUUCAGGUGAUUCUAAUGUGCAGCAAGAUUUGAGGACUAUUUUUACAUUUAAUUCCAUUCAACUUGAAUUACAUUUCCUUUUGUAGUUUAAUUAUAUUUUCCAUAUUUCCAUGUGUAAAUUUCUCAGCUUAGAGUUAAAAAGCUUCUUGUUCCUCCAACUGUGGAUCCUCAUUUGCUCAUCCAGUCAAGAAGAGCUUUUUAUCUUUAAAAUAGAAAACUGACUCUGCUUGUCUUAAGCUUAUGUAUAACGAGGGAAAGUGUCACUUUGGGGGGCAUGGGGCUGAGAACAUCCUUUACUGUUUAACAACCAUUGUGUACAAAGAAUAGCAAAGCCUUACUUCCUGGCAGAAUAGGAGUUAACUGUGUCAUGGGACUUGAGGGGUUCUUGGCAGAACAUUUGAUUUAAAUAUCUGUUUUACUCUUGCUGCCACAUUAGCAGAACUUCUGUCAUUAGAGAUUCAUGUAUUUGGAUUAAGAUUUCACCUCUUUAGGAGCUUUUCAUUAGUCAUAAAUAAUCCUAGAAGGAUUCAUUAAGACCUUUGUGUGAGAGCUCAUCGGGUCACUGUUGCUUGCAAUAAGAGGAGGCAUAUACAAUUACCAUUUGUAAUAGACUUUGUCUCUUUCUCUAUGCUCUCCAUAAAGGCAGAGCUGUGCUUGUAUUAGCUAUUAUGUCCCCAGCACCUAACUCAGUGUCUGGACAAAGCAGAUUAUAGUAAAUGCCUUUGAAUGAAUGAAUGAUGAAUAAAAGAAUGAAUGAUCACACGAGCAAAUGGAUAGCCACAAUUAGUUAUGAAUCCUGAAAGAAUAGAAAGAGAUAGAAAAAAAAAAAAGAAUUGUUGGAGGAAAAACAUUACCAUGUCACAGUUGUCCUGGAGUUUGAAGCUUUGCACAACCUUAUCUCAUAAAGUAUGUUAAAGACAAUUCCCUAAUAGUUCCAUUUUGAGGCUGUUGACUUUUUUUGCUGGGAUGUUCCCCCACCAUCUUUUUUCUUCAAUAAUAUUAAUAAAAAGUACAAUCA
Long non-coding RNA from Zalophus californianus (California sea lion), 1775 nucleotides. NCBI's taxonomy places the organism in Eukaryota, Metazoa, Chordata, Mammalia, Carnivora, Otariidae. The record is from Ensembl.